This 612-nucleotide long non-coding RNA is filed under the name Homo sapiens (human). Its description in RNAcentral is "non-protein coding lnc-TRIO-2:1". Lineage: Eukaryota; Metazoa; Chordata; Mammalia; Primates; Hominidae. The record is from RNAcentral.
CAACAGUGCUUAAUUUAGCGGAACACUGGAAUGAUCUCAUAGCUGAACACUGGAAUCAUCUCGCCAGCAUUAAAAAUUACUGAUGCCUGCCUGGGUCCUACGUACAGAGACUCUGAUUCAAUGGGUCUGGGAAGUGGCCCUGGCAUUGGGAUUUUUUUAAGUUCCUUCAGUGUAUCUGGUACGUUGCAAAGAUUGAGAACAACUCUUCUACAUGAAAUACUAUAAGUUCUACAAGGACAAGAAUUUUGUCUGCUUUGUCCAGUGAGCCUGAACCAGUGCCUGGCACAUAGGAGAUAAUAAAUCAAUAUCUAUCUAAUUAGUUGUUAUCAGAAGGAUUUUUCAUCUGAAAUGGGCAUUCUCAUCUUUCACUGAAAGUUAAACUGUCUUCCAAGGAAGAGAUGAAGAAACAAAUUCUCAGCUACUUUGGCAUAUCUGCAAAAGCCUGAAAGCUCUGUCAAAUAUUCAGCACAAUAAUUCUGCAACACUUCAGAUGGUCACCUAAACCUGCCAAUAGAUCUGCUUUGACCAGCUACUCAGGUUGAGCAGAAACUUUUAACUCUCAACCUCCAAGAUAAUAAAUGUUAAUGAGAUGAUAAUUUACUCCCUUGAAUU